RNAcentral lists this ribosomal RNA (528 nucleotides) under Bacillus cereus. RNAcentral's name for it is "bacterial SSU rRNA". It matches the Rfam family "Bacterial small subunit ribosomal RNA", at positions 56 to 565 of the family's 1533-position model. The record is from RNAcentral. Lineage: Bacteria; Bacillati; Bacillota; Bacilli; Caryophanales; Bacillaceae.
UGCAGUCGAGCGAAUGGAUUAAGAGCUUGCUCUUAUGAAGUUAGCGGCGGACGGGUGAGUAACACGUGGGUAACCUGCCCAUAAGACUGGGAUAACUCCGGGAAACCGGGGCUAAUACCGGAUAACAUUUUGAACCGCAUGGUUCGAAAUUGAAAGGCGGCUUCGGCUGUCACUUAUGGAUGGACCCGCGUCGCAUUAGCUAGUUGGUGAGGUAACGGCUCACCAAGGCAACGAUGCGUAGCCGACCUGAGAGGGUGAUCGGCCACACUGGGACUGAGACACGGCCCAGACUCCUACGGGAGGCAGCAGUAGGGAAUCUUCCGCAAUGGACGAAAGUCUGACGGAGCAACGCCGCGUGAGUGAUGAAGGCUUUCGGGUCGUAAAACUCUGUUGUUAGGGAAGAACAAGUGCUAGUUGAAUAAGCUGGCACCUUGACGGUACCUAACCAGAAAGCCACGGCUAACUACGUGCCAGCAGCCGCGGUAAUACGUAGGUGGCAAGCGUUAUCCGGAAUUAUUGGGCGUAAAG